This 932-nucleotide ribosomal RNA is filed under the name Lactiplantibacillus plantarum. RNAcentral describes it as "bacterial SSU rRNA". It matches the Rfam family "Bacterial small subunit ribosomal RNA", at positions 57 to 958 of the family's 1533-position model. The record is from RNAcentral. Lineage: Bacteria; Bacillati; Bacillota; Bacilli; Lactobacillales; Lactobacillaceae.
GCAGUCGACGACUCUGGUAUUGAUUGGUGCUUGCAUCAUGAUUUACAUUUGAGUGAGUGGCGAACUGGUGAGUAACACGUGGGAAACCUGCCCAGAAGCGGGGGAUAACACCUGGAAACAGAUGCUAAUACCGCAUAACAACUUGGACCGCAUGGUCCGAGUUUGAAAGAUGGCUUCGGCUAUCACUUUUGGAUGGUCCCGCGGCGUAUUAGCUAGAUGGUGGGGUAACGGCUCACCAUGGCAAUGAUACGUAGCCGACCUGAGAGGGUAAUCGGCCACAUUGGGACUGAGACACGGCCCAAACUCCUACGGGAGGCAGCAGUAGGGAAUCUUCCACAAUGGACGAAAGUCUGAUGGAGCAACGCCGCGUGAGUGAAGAAGGGUUUCGGCUCGUAAAACUCUGUUGUUAAAGAAGAACAUAUCUGAGAGUAACUGUUCAGGUAUUGACGGUAUUUAACCAGAAAGCCACGGCUAACUACGUGCCAGCAGCCGCGGUAAUACGUAGGUGGCAAGCGUUGUCCGGAUUUAUUGGGCGUAAAGCGAGCGCAGGCGGUUUUUUAAGUCUGAUGUGAAAGCCUUCGGCUCAACCGAAGAAGUGCAUCGGAAACUGGGAAACUUGAGUGCAGAAGAGGACAGUGGAACUCCAUGUGUAGCGGUGAAAUGCGUAGAUAUAUGGAAGAACACCAGUGGCGAANGCGGCUGUCUGGUCUGUAACUGACGCUGAGGCUCGAAAGUAUGGGUAGCAAACAGGAUUAGAUACCCUGGUAGUCCAUACCGUAAACGAUGAAUGCUAAGUGUUGGAGGGUUUCCGCCCUUCAGUGCUGCAGCUAACGCNNAAGCAUUCCGCCUGGGGAGUACGGNCGCAAGGCUGAAACUCAAGGAAUUGACGGGGGCCCGCACAAGCGGUGGAGCAUGUGGUUUAAUUCGAAGCU